GUCCAGACUCCUACGGGAGGCAGCAGUGAGGAAUAUUGGUCAAUGGGCGGGAGCCUGAACCAGCCAAGCCGCGUGAGGGAUGAAGGUACAGAGUAUCGUAAACCUCUUUUGUCAGGGAACAAAGGCGGGGACGCGUCCCCGGAUGAGUGUACCUGAAGAAAAAGCAUCGGCUAACUCCGUGCCAGCAGCCGCGGUAAUACGGAGGAUGCGAGCGUUAUCCGGAUUUAUUGGGUUUAAAGGGUGCGCAGGCGGUCUGUUAAGUCAGCGGUUAAAGCCCGGGGCUCAACCCCGGCCCGCUGUUGAAACUGGCGGCCUCGAGUGGGCGAGAAGUAUGCGGAAUGCGUGGUGUAGCGGUGAAAUGCAUAGAUAUCACGCAGAACUCCGAUUGCGAAGGCAGCAUACCGGCGCCCGACUGACGCUGAGGCACGAAAGCGUGGGUAUCGAACAGGAUUAGAUACCCCUGUAUUC
RNAcentral lists this ribosomal RNA (468 nucleotides) under uncultured bacterium. Its description in RNAcentral is "bacterial SSU rRNA". It matches the Rfam family "Bacterial small subunit ribosomal RNA", at positions 329 to 795 of the family's 1533-position model. The record is from RNAcentral.